RNAcentral lists this long non-coding RNA (221 nucleotides) under Trifolium pratense (red clover). RNAcentral's name for it is "long non-coding RNA (TPRA_LNC008907)". The record is from RNAcentral. Lineage: Eukaryota; Viridiplantae; Streptophyta; Magnoliopsida; Fabales; Fabaceae.
UAAAUGACGGUCAAGAUUUGGUGCCAUGCGAGGUGUCAGAUCGUAUUCCGCCAUUUUCUUCCGUUUCGAUGGUGAGAUGAGCAGAGAAUGCGAAAGGGAAGAAGAAGCUGACUGAGAUUUGUUUUUUAGGGUUUAGAAACCUAAUCCAAAACGACGUAGUUUUUUUGUUAUGGUGAUGAAAAAUAAAACCUCUUUUUUAAUUCUGUCAAGAAAAAUAAAAC